This is an RNA transcript of Gopherus flavomarginatus (Mexican gopher tortoise), 1675 nucleotides long. It is a transcript of the gene named programmed cell death 5, with no coding region annotated. The transcript has 7 exons. The record is from RefSeq and is a predicted model, not a curated record. Lineage: Eukaryota; Metazoa; Chordata; Testudines; Testudinidae.
GUCUGGGACCUGGGCGCAUGCGCACUGUGUAGUGAGCGGUCCCGCCGGUUAUCUCGCGUUGUCCCAGCCCGCUCGCUACCCAGAGCCAUGGCGGACGAGGAGCUGGAGGCGCUCCGCAAGCAGCGGCUGGCUGAGCUGCAGGCUAAGCAUGGGGACCCUUCUGGUGAUCCAGCACAACAAGAAGCCAAACAGAGGGAGUCAGAGAUGAGAAAUAGCAUUUUAGCUCAAGUUCUGGAUCAAGCAGCUCGUGCCAGAUUAAGCAAUUUAGCACUUGUGAAGCCAGAAAAGGCAAAAGCUGUAGAGAAUUACCUUAUACAGAUGGCAAGAUUUGGACAGUUAGGUGGGAAGGUAUCAGAACAAGGAUUGAUAGAAAUACUUGAAAAAGUGAGCCAGCAAACAGAAAAGAAAACAACAGUGAAGAAGAGACUACUGCUUUUAAAAGCUGAUUCCGGAUUUCAAACUUUGGUUCCACGUGCUUAGCCAGUGACCAGUUCAGAUGAUUGAUUUUCUUUAAAUAUUUGGCAGCAAACAUGUACUACUUGAAUUUUUUCUAAUGAUUAAUAGUUCAACAGAAGAAAAGUACUGGAUUCUGAUGAAGAGGAUGAUGAUGAUUAAAUGCUACUGUAAGAUUGCUUAACUGCCUGGAAAAAGGCAAAGAACACAUACUGUAUAGGCAAAUUGAAAGUUCUGACGAAACAUUUAAAUGUAUUUGCUUUCUGCAUUUUUUUGAUAAAGGUCAAUAAAUAAAUGAACUCAUGUUCUGUAAAACAAAAUUUGAGAAGGGUUUUAUAGCUUAACUAUUUGUAGUAUUAAAGAGGCCUGUGUGGUAUGGAUUUUCCCACCGUAUUCUUAGCAUGAACUUUCCUUUGUCCUACUCAGCAUGUAAGCUAUGCUAUCAGCACUUGCCACUCCGUAAGUUGUUGCUACCAUAAGAGAGGUCUUGAGAGGGCAAUAAAAGAGUCUUAGGUUCACACAGCCAAAGCCUGUAGGGGCUGAAAGAAUGACAACUCUGUCACAACAGUUGAUACAGAAACAAGAUAUCCUUUAGUUGAGGGAUUAUCCAAUACCUCUACUGGUUCUCAAACUAUGGCUGGUGGAACCUUUUGUUGGAGUCUGCAGAAUAGAACUGCUGAUGAACAAGUUGGUGAAAAGAGAGGUGGUUCCUUGAGCGGAAUCUUACCAUGUAGUCUGCUGGAUGAAAUUGUACAUAGCAUAUAGUUUGAUUGAACCAGUUUCUUCUGGAAACUGUCAAGUUGUCUGUCUCUGCAGAAUGAGAUUAAAAAGUUGAGUAGAGUGGAUAUACAGUUGUGGUUGAAACUUAAUUGGAUAAUGUAAUACAACUCGUCAGAUAGUUGGUAACACAUGUUCUUUAUUCUCCUAUUUAUUAAAUGGUUGGAGUUUCCUUUUGUCAAAAAAGGAAAGGCACCUGCUCUAAAUUCCAUGUGACAUGCAUGCAUAAAGUAAAACUGACCCUGUGUUGUUAUCUUAUUUGAAAAUGCAGUUUGAAAAUUUGUGGUACAAAUACUAUUACAUCUUGUGUGAUAAGAUGGAAGUGAAAAGGGAAGAGACUUCACUACCAGAGAAGAGCUGUUUUCUGCUUUCAUUUAAGAGCAAAAGUGUACACUAUUCCAACUGUAACGGUUUGGAAUUGAUUAAAAUUUUGUUUAAAAAGGUA